This 682-nucleotide ribosomal RNA is filed under the name Gildoria sp. AZR-2017. Its description in RNAcentral is "eukaryotic LSU rRNA". It matches the Rfam family "Eukaryotic large subunit ribosomal RNA", at positions 387 to 818 of the family's 3401-position model. The record is from RNAcentral. Lineage: Eukaryota; Metazoa; Arthropoda; Insecta; Hymenoptera; Braconidae.
GUUCAAGAGUACGUGAAACCGUUCAGGGGUAAACCUGAGAAACCCAAAAGAUCGAAUGGGGAGAUUCAUCGUCAGCGCAUUUUGUAUAUAUAUGAGUUGUGAUGCGGGUUACCUUCGGGUAUUGCUUGCACAUUCUUGUAUAUUUAGUUGCAAGAUGUUGUCGGCGUGCACUUCUCCCCUAGUAGAACGUCGCGACCUGUUGGGUGUCGGUCUACGGCCCAAGUGGGAGCCUUUAAUGUUUGACAAUAUUAAAGACCCUUGGUGUUUUCUGACCGACUGCCCGGCGGUAUUCGUACGGUAUUUAGCCGCAUUUUAUAUGCGUCCAUACCCGUCGCAAGCGAGGUUAGAUUUCGGUAGUACGGACUUAGUGCCGUCGCUGUGUCUGACCAGCUGUUGGCUGUACGGUGUUCUAGGACUGGCUAAAAUUUUUCAUUACCGGUCGGCGAUGCUACUGCUUUGGGUACUUUCAGGACCCGUCUUGAAACACGGACCAAGGAGUCUAACAUGUGCGCGAGUCAUUGGGAUUUUUUUAAAAUUAAACCUAAAGGCGUAAUGAAAGUAAAGGUUGGCCUUGUGUCAAUUGAGGGAGGAUGAGUUAUAUUGAGAUAUAGCUCCGCACUCCCGGGGCGUCUCAUUCUCAUUGCGAGAAGAGGCGCACCUAGAGCGUACACGUUGGGACCCG